GCCUGGGUGGCUCAGUCGGUUAAGUGUCUGACUUCGGCUCAGGUCAUGAUCUCACGGUUUGUGGGUUUGAGCCCCGCGUCAGGCU
This 85-nucleotide transfer RNA is filed under the name Felis catus (domestic cat). It matches the Rfam family "tRNA". Rfam says of the family: Transfer RNA (tRNA) molecules are approximately 80 nucleotides in length. Lineage: Eukaryota; Metazoa; Chordata; Mammalia; Carnivora; Felidae. RNAcentral also lists the same sequence under 1 other name. The record is from Rfam by way of RNAcentral.